GAUCCUGGCUCAGGAUGAACGCUAGCUACAGGCUUAACACAUGCAAGGUCGAGGGGCAGCAUGAACUUAGCUUGCUAAGUUUGAUGGCGACCGGCGCACGGGUGAGUAACACGUAUCCAACCUUCCGUUUACUCAGGGAUAGCCUUUCGAAAGAAAGAUUAAUACCUGAUAGUAUGGUGAGAUUGCAUGAUAACACCAUUAAAGAUUUAUUGGUAAACGAUGGGGAUGCGUUCCAUUAGGUAGUAGGCGGGGUAACGGCCCACCUAGCCUGCGAUGGAUAGGGGUUCUGAGAGGAAGGUCCCCCACAUUGGAACUGAGACACGGUCCAAACUCCUACGGGAGGCAGCAGUGAGGAAUAUUGGUCAAUGGACGAGAGUCUGAACCAGCCAAGUAGCGUGAAGGAUGACUGCCCUAUGGGUUGUAAACUUCUUUUAUACGGGAAUAAAGUGAGGCACGUGUGCCUUUUUGUAUGUACCGUAUGAAUAAGGAUCGGCUAACUCCGUG
This 504-nucleotide ribosomal RNA is filed under the name uncultured bacterium. RNAcentral describes it as "bacterial SSU rRNA". It matches the Rfam family "Bacterial small subunit ribosomal RNA", at positions 15 to 507 of the family's 1533-position model. The record is from RNAcentral.